CUAGGCAAGCCAAUUAUUUAAACAUUUCACAAAUUUUUAUUUAGUGCAAUAUGAUAAACUGAAAUAAAUACUUAAAUAUGCGAAAGACUUUUAAAUACUUAAAACAGAAAACAUAGGAUAUGAAGAUCUCCAAUUACAUUUUCUACCCAGUAUCCGGUGUCAUCACUCACGGACUACUAAUGAGUACUAGAAAUAUCAGUCUGAAAAAAAAUACACAGAAGUCUGUCUCGAUACAAGUAAACAAACUGAAAUAACAUAGAUGAGAUUCCGAGCCCGCGGACGUCAGCAAAGCUACCUAGAAGUAUCUGGACUGAAGGUACACUCCCAAUCUACUACUGCGGCGGUCCGUAAACUGCUCCCUGAUCUGUGCACAAAAAGGCACAGAAGUGUAGCAUCAGCACAACCGACCCCAUGUGGGCCCGCGGACGUCAAGAAGGCUACCUCCGUGUCUCUGGACUGAAGGCCUGCUCCCAAUCUACUGCUGCUGUCCAAAAGCUGCUCCAAAAGAGUACAGAGUGUAUCAUCAGCAUAACCGACCCCAUGUGGUGGUAAGUGCCUGGUCUAACCCCGGUGAGGUAGUGACGAGGCUAGACAGGACCUACCACAAAUGACCUGUACAGAUAUGUGCAAUAACAGGAAAAUAUGCUAAUCUAAUCGGUUAAAAAGGGAGGGAAGCAUGUUGUGGGGUACAACAGUUCAAAUACAUAAAUCAGCUAAUAAGAAGGAAAACUGAGCGGAUAACAACUGAUAAAGAAAUACCGGAAAGCUUAACACACAGAACAAUAUACUUAGUCCAUAUUCCCAUUGUGGCGCGCAACCUGAUCCUCAAUAUUUAAUACCGUUGCGGCGUGCAACCCGAUCCUCGACAAUUAAUCUCGUUGCAGCGUGCAGCCCGAUCCUCAAUAUUUAGUACCGUUGCGGUGUGCAACCCGAUCCUCGAUAUUUACCAACAAAACUAACCCAACAUCAUUCGCAGCUCAAGGGCGAGGGGUGAAACAUCAAAAUACAAGAGCCCCGGCGAGGGAGUAUAACUAACAGCUCAAUUAUCCCGACAAGGGAAAGUUCAAUUUAUACCAAAAUUCCGGCAAGGGAAAUAAUCACAAGACUUCCACUUCUAACACUUAAGUACCAACAACUCUAAGUCGAGUCAAUGAUCCAAUAAUCUAUACAAAUUUUUAUUUGUCCUCAACCAAUCAUAUCAUGUGAACUCAAUCAAUUUAAGCGACAAGUAAUACCACAUUAUUCAAAUUAAAAUAAUUCAAGAUCCACAGUCAUGCUAGACUCGGAAGCAUAGAUAACCGUCACCAUACCUAUACACCGACUCCAUAUAGCACAUAGCAAAUAAUGUCUGAAUCCUAUUUCCUCAAGCCAAAGUUAGAUCAAACACUUACCUCGACCCGAAAAUAGCAAUCAACACUCUAAAAUCGCCUUUUCUCUAGAAUCCAACUCCGAAACAAUGAUAUCUAGACAUAAUUAGAUUCAAUAAUAGCUCAAAGACACCAUUCCAUAGCUUAGAAAUAAAUUUUUUAUUAUUCUUUCAAAAAUACCAAAAUCCGACACCGGGCCCACAUGGUUCAAACUCGAGGCUCAAACCAAAUUCUAGUCACCCUUGACCACACGAGUUCAAAUAUAUAAUUUAUUUAAGGAUUGGACCCAAAUUGAAGUUGAAUCGCCCGAAAUUCCCAAAAAGCCUAACUCUACCAGAAAGCCCUAAUUUCUACUGUGAUUUCAUAUUUUUAUGGUAGGAUUUUAGUGAUUAGAUGAAGAAAUAAUGAGGGAAUGGUGUUAAAAUUACUUACUCAAAGAGUUAUGGAGACGGAAGCUCUUAAAAUUCGUCUAGGGAGGGUUUGAGUGAAGGGCUCGUGUGAAAAAUGGCAAAAAUCCCGAGCACACUGUUCUGUUUUAAACUUAAAAUCAUUGGAAUGUUUUUGGUCUAUGCGAUCACGGGGCAACAGAUGCGAUCGCAUAGAGGAGUGGGAAAGUUGGCUUCCGCGAUCGCAGAAGAAAUUAUGCGAUCACGUAAAGGAAAGGAAGUCUGAAAUUUUGGUGAGGUACAAAGCUACGCGAUCGCGUAUAGGGGAAUGCGAUCGCAUUGAGGAGACUGGCAAAGCUAUGCGAUCGUGUAUGAAUCCAUGCAAACGCAUUGAACAAAGUGAGAUGGCCACAAAAGGGACUCUAUGCGAUCGCAUACAUGCCUAUGCGAUCGCAUAGAGGAAUAGGUCUGUGCAAAAAUUGCAGAAUUUCUAAUGCAUUCUAUGUCCAAAAACACUCCGAACCACCCCGGAAUCACUCCCGAGCCCUCGGGGCUCCCAACCAAACACACACUCUAACUCAAUAUUAUCCUACAAACUUGCUUGAGCAAUCAAAUCGCUAAAAUAACAUCAAUAUCAAACAAUCAACCCCCAAACUCAUAAUUUAAUUUCAAAGAUCAUCAACCUUCAACUUUAGAUAUCUAAGUCCGAAACAGGUCAAACAACGUCCGAUUUCGACCAAAUUUUACAGGAAUCGCUUAAACCAUAAUAUGACAUGUACCGGGCGUCGGAACACAAAUAUGAGCCCGAUACCAUUACUUUUUUAUCAAAUUUCACUUCCAUUUUCCUUAGACAUAUUCAAAAAAAAAUUCACGGAAAAAUUCUUUUCUCGGGCCUAGGGCCUCAGAUUUUGAUUCCGGGAAUACACCCCAGUCCCAUAUUUUCCUACGAACUCUUCGAGACCAACACAUCACAGGUCGGAAUCCGUCUACCCAAAAUAUUGACCAAAGUCAACUAUAUCAGUAUUAUUAUCAAAAUUCAUAGUUUUUAACACAAAGUUCAUAUAUUUCCACAUAAAAACUUUUCGGCUUUGCCUCCGGACUACGCACGCAAAUCGAAGCGACCAACUAAGAGGUUUUCAAGGCUUCAGAAGUACAAAAAAAUAGGGAAUUACGGUGAUGACCCUUAUUAUUUGUCCCUACAACGAAAAGGAAACCUAAUUAAUCAUACCAAGUUAAAUUAAGAACUUAACCCUUUUAGUCCAAAGCCAACUGACCCGCCUGCACAAUGGGCGGUGGUACAGGCCAAUCAUCUGAGCCCAAUCAUGAAUAAAAGACAACUGAGGACGUUGGUGCCUCCAGCUUGGGAUCGAAUCCCACUGGCUGCUCAAGUCAGCGUUUCCCAUCGAAAUUGAAACGGUUUGGGACAAAGGAUGGGACUAAGCCACUUCCCAGUUGGGCCUGCAUGUGAGCCCAAAUAUGUGAAAAGCCUUUGAUGAGAGGAAACAAAGCAAUUAUAAGGAGAUAACCCAGCCUUAAUCACUACCACAUUCUCAGCAGUUGAAACCUAAUUGAUUAAUAGUAGUCUUUAAACUAAAUAAGCCUGAUUCAAUAAUGCCAUUAUUUAAACAAGCGUGAUUUAAAAAUUACCAAGUAAACACGAAUCCGAAACAUGCUGCCUACCAUAAACUAACAAAAGAAGUCAUCAAAUCAACUGAAUCUAAUCUAAUGUAUAAAACUAUUCGAAUCAAAUUAGUGGUUGCUAAAUAUGUAUCACAUAAUUCUGAUAAAGCAUACCAUGUUAUCCUAACAACAUCAAAAUGAACUAAUAGGUUAAAACAAUCCCAAAAUAGUCCUUACAACAUAUAAUCCAACAGUUAUCCUAGCAAUGCAAAGGUAAGUUAAACACUCAGUUAUCUCACAACUAUCAUAUGGCAAAAACAAUAUUGUCCGUACGAAUUGGAAUUUGGCCAAUGCUUCUAUUUCAAACUCAUUCAACAUUAUAUCAAGGUGAUCCAAAGGUGUACCCGGAGAUAGAAUUCAACAGAAGAAGAAGGAACAACUAUCAGAUGGCAAAGAAAAUAUUGUCCAUACGAAUUGGAAUUUGGCCAAUACUUCUAUUUCGAACUCAUUCAACAUUACAUCAAGGUGAUCCAAAGGUAUACCUGGAGAUAGAAUUCAACAGAAGAAGAAGGAGAUCAGCUACAACAACAUAAUGGCAGCAAUAUGCAGAAGUCAGCAACAGCAGAAAUCAAUAAUCAAUCCAAGAAUGAACUUCAGAAUUCCAAAGCUUUUAAAACCAAAUAGAAUUGAGAGAUCUACUCAAAACCGUUGCAAAUAGACCCAAUAAACUUAAAAAUAGCCCAGAAUGCACUAAUCACUUUCAGCAAAACAGAGUUCAUUCAAAAUCAGGCUCGAUUGGACCUAAACUCAUUCGAAAUCAACUCAUGUAUCUAUGAAGCCUCAGCCAUCAGCUUGAGAACUAAGGGAUGAAGUUCAAAUACUCAGGACUCGAAAUUAACUAAAAGAUUUCAAUGGAUCAGUAGCUGCUUUUGGAUUUUCUAUUAAAUUUUCUAUUGUUUUUUUUUUUUUUUGGUUUUCUGGAAAUCACCACUGUUUUUGUUUUGAUUUUUUGAAGAUUUUGGGGUUUGCAUCUUCAAGUUUCAGAUCUGAAUCUUGUAGAGAGAAUGGGGGAAUUUUUGUGAGGCUCCCAGACUUCUAUUUCAAGGUAUAGAAAUGCACUUUUAUAGGCACAAAGAGGAGCAACUUCACAUUUUUAACUUUACAAAAUAGUCCCUCUUUUUAUUUCUUUUUAACCCUCUUAUUUUCUGACUUGUUACUUAAGUAAAGGCCUCUAAUUACUGAAAUUCAACUUGUACCCCCAUCUAGAGGGUUCUAGAGUGUUCUUUUGCCUAUGCAAUGCCUCUAUUACCCUUAUCCUGAUUUUUAAAUUACCAUUCCUAAUAAAACUACCCUUUUCACAUGUCCAAACUACCCUUGAAACCCCUCUUAAAUUACUACCCAACCAAAACCCGUUCAGCUAUAACCAAAAUCAGUCCCAAUUGAUACUAACUAAAUUGAAAAAUUAAUUAGACUAAUUAUUCACAGAACAAAACUAACAAUUGAAUGAACUAACUAUCACAGAAUCAAGGUGAAAUAAUAUAAAGACUAAAAGCAAUAUUGGACUGCAAAUUUAACAAGAAGUAACAGUUUUCAACAAGGUUAUUCGAUUGAAACUAAUCAAUUAAGCUAAUUAAACCUAAACUAACACCUAACGAUUAUACUAACAAUUGACCAAUUAAAACUGAAUAAGGCGAAAUUCAAAUAAGCUAAACAAGAAUGGCAAAUAGACUAAGAACAGUAUUGGAUUGAAAUUAAACUAACAAUCAAACUUAUUUAGAAACUAACUUCAAUUAGCAGAUAAAAUGAGCAUCAAACUAAACGAGAAAGAAGCUCACUAAUUAAAAUAGAUAGAGCAAAUGAAAGAGCAAAAGAGGAAUUAAAUCACUGAUAAACCAAGUAAAACGUGAAACUAUAGGAACACUUACUAUGGGAGACAUUCGAUCUUGGAAAACAAAUCUCCUAAAACAGACUUGACUUCAGCAGCCCUAGAUUUGAAAUUCGUUGAGCUUUAGUGAGAUUCGAAGGGUUUUGACCCGAGAUUCGGGAUGAGGAAAGGCCGGAUACUAUCUGGUAUCAAUUUGGGAUCAUUUGAAUGAUUUUUUGAUUUGGCCGGAAAGUUUCGGAUUAAGAUUCGAAUUGAUUGAAUGGGAUUUGAAGGAAGUGGUUAUGGGGGUUGGAAAGUGGAGGAAAAGACGAGUUGAGGGGGUAUUUUGGGGCUCAUUGGGAUCUCUGCCGCCGCCGCCGCCAGCUAUUUCCGACCGUCGGCGGACGACGGAGCCAUGGCAGAGACGGUGGGGACAUUGGUACGAGGAAGGAGACUUAUUGUCUCUAGGGUUAAACGAUUAUUCAUACAUUUUUAUUAUAAUCUUGAGAGCCAAAU
RNAcentral lists this long non-coding RNA (5753 nucleotides) under Nicotiana benthamiana. RNAcentral describes it as "long non-coding RNA (NBEN_LNC020071)". Lineage: Eukaryota; Viridiplantae; Streptophyta; Magnoliopsida; Solanales; Solanaceae. The record is from RNAcentral.